GGGGAAGGCACGGAGGAAAGGACCCCCAGACCCGGCUUCACCUCGAGGCUCAGCUGACUGACCACCGUGUCACCCCUCGAGCCACUCCCUGCCUGACGUCCCAGAGGGGGCCGUGCCACAGCCCCGCUGACACCCGCCCCCUGCUGUAGCAGCUUCAUUCUGCCCUGGCUUCUAGGACCACGGUGGGCCCGAUGGCAGCUGCCUUGGGCCAAAGUUGUCACUCUCUCUGCCAGCCUAGCCCGUGCCUCCCUCUGGCUCAGUCUGCUAGGACUCCCGCUCACCCCCUCUUGCUCCCCCCACCUGCCCCAACCCCAGGGACUGGCAUUUGCCUGGAGUCGUCACAGAUGGCUGUCGGAUGGAUGGUCUUUGAUACGCUGCCUCUGGGCAGCUGUGAGUGUGUGGAGUUGGGUGACAGACGGGACCCCCAGACAGGGGCGUCCAGGAAGCAGUUCGAAACCGUCUGCCCAGGGCGCUCUCGUGCCACAGCGGGUUAAGGGCCUGGCGUUGUCACUGCGUGGCUCGGGUUGCUACUGGGAACUUCCGCGUGCCACAGGUGUGACCAAAAAACAGAAACAAAGUAACCGCUUCGUGAGUCGGAAGCUUCAGGGGAAACCGGGGCUGAUGGCAGAGGUGACCUGCCAAAGGGAGAAUUUGGCUAAAGCUGACACGAGAGGAAAACCUCAGAAGAGGAGGAGGAAAGACUCACGUCGGGGGACGCAGAGAGAAUGGGAGGACGCGCCACGCAAAGCGCGGUCAGAGCGGGAACGCGGAGGCGUCCAGCAUGGGAGGCCCUGCCUGAGUGCCCGACGCUGGAGCCUGUGUCGGGGCCAGGACACAGAGGGAGCCUCCAGGAGGGACUUCAGGGGAGAGCUGGGUGCCAGCCUGCCGAGUGGAGAAGGCAGCGUGAACACGGUGACACCAGCCCGCUUGUCCUUGUUAUCUGGAGGUGACGGGGAGGGGGCCGGACCCAAGGAAGAGAGACGGUGGGAAAGAAUGGUGUUUGUUCUGGAGGGGUCUGGGGGACAGCAGAGACAGUAAACGGUGGCCCACAGGCCGCCUGUGGCCUGCGGAUGAGUUUUCUUUGCCUUAUAAGUUGAACUGGUUGCCUCCCUUGAGGAACAGACAUUUCACCUGUAACUCUGGAUUUCCAGCUUCUGCUGCAGCACUGGCCAACCUAGCCAGGUGUGGCCGGCAAGUGGCUGGAGCAGACAGCUGGCUGCCCCUUCAGACGGGGCCUGGCUCUGCAGGGCCCCGCUCCCUCUCCAUCCCUUCCCCCUGCAGCCUCAGGAAGCUGAUGCCGUAGUGCCACCAGAGGCGGAAGAGGUUCAGCAGGUACCAGUCGGUCUCCUCCAGCACCAGGCUCUCCCCGUUGAAGAUGGCACUCCUGCCUCCCACCUCUCGCCGGUGCCGCAGCCCUGCCGAGACAGGACGAGGCCCUCAGGGGAUCCACUCAGCCAAGAACAAGGGAACUUCAGCCAUCAUCCUGGACCGUCCAGGGGCGGACGGCCCCAGGGCUCGUGUUGGAAUGGCUGACCUGGGCACCGAGGCCACGUGGAGGCUCACAGCUCCCAUCCCCGAGUCACCAGGUCCCCCUCCCCAGAGGCAGCUAGGAAGUGAUUCCUUCAGCAUCCCUCCAGAGCUAUUUUGCGCAAACUCUUAUAGUCAGAGACACGCCUGGGUGACUCCCCCCCCGACCACUACUGUAUUGUAGACGCUGCUCUGAACCUCCUGACACGCGUCUCAGAGAUUGUGCUGUACCUGCGCCCGCAGGACGUCCGCACCCUGGCUGCUCCAAAGUCUGUUCUAGAAACUGCUGUCACAGGGCCUGGAAGCUGCCCUAGGGCCACAGGGAAGCUGAAGGCCUCACCUCAUGGAGAACUGGCUCAUUCGACGCCCUCGACCUGACACCGGCUCUCGGGUCUCUGGACUGCCUCCUACCCCUGGCGAGGUUCUGGCUGAGCCGGUCCUUCUAGGAAGCCUUCCCAGAGCCGCAGAGACUGGACGAAGUGCCCCCUCCAGAUGCACGGUCGAGCACUAACUUCCUGGAAUUGUGCAGACGGGGACUCUGGGGCACUGCGCCUGCUACUCCGUGACCCUCAGUAUGGAUGGUUCACAGCAUCCAGACAGGCCAGAGUCUCGUUCCUGGGGGCACCCGGCAAAGAGCCAGGUCCACAGCCCAUGCUCAGUGCUCCUGGACUUUCCGAUUCAGGUAACUGGAGCCAUGUUUUAAAACCUCUAGUGCACUUGAGAACGUGGGCAGUGUCUGCGUGGAUAGGAACAGCAUACUUAGCAAGGACCACUGGGAACACGGAUUAUGGAGCCAAGACUGGAAGAGUGACGACAAUGCAAGGCCAAAGCUACAGGGGAGGCUGGUUCCAGAGGGGCACUUAGCCAGGAGGCUGGGUAUUUGGAUGCCCGUGGGAAAGCAGAGGCAAAGACAAGGCCAGGGCAUGGUCAGGGCACACACGGAAGCAGAGGGCUAUGUGCCAGUCAUCUGGCUGAGAGGACGGCCAGAAGUCCUGCAGCUCAAGUGAAAAGAUUAAAGCAGGAAAAACAACGAGAACUAAGCAGCCAGCACAAGAAACUGAGGCAGUGCUGGAGAAGGAGGUGGCACAGGAGUCCGGACCCACGAAGGUGGCCGAGGAGGUGGGAAACCGACAAGACUGGGCACGUCCACUGAGCGUCAGCAAAGUAGGCCAGCCAGUGACGUGACUGUGACAUGUCACCACACGACGUGAAUCUGGACCAGAGACACUAAGCGCAAGAGACACAGUUAUUUCAAUUAAGGUUUUAUUGAAACUGUUUCUGAAGAUUCUGUUUCAUCCUUAGUUUUCCUUACUCGAUUUCGCUUUAGUGUCAAGGAAUCUUUCUUCACUGAUCAAAUCCUUUGCCAUGAAAAAGCACCACAUGAUGUAUAUCAGCAUUGAACAGAAUGAUCUCUUUAUGGCAGUGAGGAAAAUCCGUAAAAGCUUUGCAGAACCCAAGGACUCAAACGCCAAGACCCCUUUCAGAUGAGCCAAACUUCUUCGCACGCCCGUCUACAAGCCAAUACAUAAUACUGUCUUUUCACUUUACCAUCAAGAUGAAAAUAAUUAAGAAGAUAAAGCAAUUUUUUUUCUCCAGUCAAAAAAAAUGAGGAUUUCUCUG
Molecule: long non-coding RNA, 3147 nt
Organism: Phacochoerus africanus (Common warthog)
Lineage: Eukaryota; Metazoa; Chordata; Mammalia; Artiodactyla; Suidae
Exons: 6
Source: RefSeq, a predicted model, not a curated record